GAAUAUUGGACAAUGGGGGGAACCCUGAUCCAGCAAUGCCGCGUGUGUGAAGAAGGCCUUUUGGUUGUAAAGCACUUUAAGCGGGGAGGAGGCUACUCUCGUUAAUACCUAGAGAUAGUGGACGUUACUCGCAGAAUAAGCAACUGCUAACUCUGUGACAGCAGCCGCGGUAAUAAAGAGGGUGCAAGCGUUAAUCGGAUUUACUGGGCGUAAAGCGCGCGUAGGUGGCCAAUUAAGUCAAAUGUGAAAUCCCCGAGCUUAACUUGGGAAUUGCAUUCGAUACUGGUGGGCUAGAGUAUGGGAGAGGAUGGUAGAAUUCCAGGUGUAGCGGUGAAAUGCGUAGAGAUCUGGAGGAAUACCGAUGGCGAAGGCAGCCAUCUGGCCUAAUACUGACACUGAGGUGCGAAAGCAUGGGGAGCAAACA
RNAcentral lists this ribosomal RNA (424 nucleotides) under uncultured bacterium. Its description in RNAcentral is "bacterial SSU rRNA". It matches the Rfam family "Bacterial small subunit ribosomal RNA", at positions 359 to 774 of the family's 1533-position model. The record is from RNAcentral.